Magnolia sinica is the source of this 767-nucleotide long non-coding RNA. RefSeq lists it as uncharacterized. NCBI's taxonomy places the organism in Eukaryota, Viridiplantae, Streptophyta, Magnoliopsida, Magnoliales, Magnoliaceae. The transcript is spliced from 5 exons. The record is from RefSeq and is a predicted model, not a curated record.
UCCUCUCUCUCUCUCUCUCUCUCUCUCUCUCCCUUUAGAUGCAGCGACAGCCAUCGCCAUCUCCACCUAUUUCCUCUUUCUCAAUCGACCCUCUCUCUCUAUUUCCCCUUUUCCCUCUCUCAAUCGACCAUCUCUUUGUUUCCCCUUUCUUAAUCCACCUCUUCUCCUCUAGGGUUAGUCUCUCUCUCUCUCUAUAGACCGGAUCUGGUUUUUCUCUCAAGCUACAACAGAUUUCGAUGCAAACAUGGGGUUUUCUCUCAAGUAAUUAGCAGAUUAUCUACGACCACAUCUAAUCAUAAGGUUUGCAAUUGACACAAUGCAGUCAGUUUUCCUUGAUGAAUUUGGGGGAGAAAAUGCCCUGGAUCAUAGCACUCAACAGACGACUCUUAUUCAACACAUAUUUGGUGGUCAUCUUCAAUCUUAGAUAUUGAUCAAGUUGGAGGAUAAUAGACUGGUUGAAACUGUUGGGAUACCGGUUGAAGAUAAUAAAGGUUUUUAUCGCCUCACUGCUUGUAUAUCUUCACAGGAAGCUUUGUCGGGCUCACGUUGUAUUUUAACUAACUUGUCGAAGUAGUCAAGGAACAUAGUGAUGGAUAAGAGUUGGAUUCAUUUGUCAAGGGUAAGCAAUGCAUACUUAAGUGGAGCUACGGAAUUCCUAGACUUUGCAUUUACAAAUUCAAGUGAUAGCGGGAGGAUCCUAUGUCCGUGUAAGAACUCUAAUAACAACUUCUAGGUAUCUCGACAAGAAGCAUACGAUCAUAUUGUGU